UACGUAGGGUGCGAGCGUUAAUCGGAAUUACUGGGCGUAAAGCGUGCGCAGGCGGUUAGUUGUGUCGGUGGUGAAAUCCCCGGGCUUAACCUGGGAAUGGCCAUGGAAACUGGCGAACUGGAGUCCGGUAGGGGAGCGUGGAAUUCCUGGUGUAGCGGUGAAAUGCGCAGAUAUCAGGAGGAACACCAGCGGCGAAGGCGGCUCUCUGGGACGUGACUGACGCUGAGACGCGAAAGCGUGGGGAGCAAACAGG
Molecule: ribosomal RNA, 253 nt
Filed under: uncultured bacterium
Lineage: Bacteria
Description: partial 16S ribosomal RNA
Rfam family: Bacterial small subunit ribosomal RNA
Source: RNAcentral